AUACUUACCUGGCAGGGGAAACACCAUGAUCCCGAAGGUGGUUUUCCCAGGGCGAGGCUAACCCAUUGCACUGCGGGUGUGCUGACCUCUGAGAUUUCCCCAAAUGCGGGAAACUCGGCUGCAUAAUUUGUGGUAGUGGGGGACUGCAUGCGUGGUCUCCCCUG
This 164-nucleotide small nuclear RNA is filed under the name Tupaia belangeri chinensis (Chinese tree shrew). RNAcentral's name for it is "Tupaia chinensis (Chinese tree shrew) U1 spliceosomal RNA". It matches the Rfam family "U1 spliceosomal RNA". Rfam says of the family: U1 is a small nuclear RNA (snRNA) component of the spliceosome (involved in pre-mRNA splicing). The record is from Rfam by way of RNAcentral. Lineage: Eukaryota; Metazoa; Chordata; Mammalia; Scandentia; Tupaiidae.